AACGCACAUUGCGCCCCUUGGUAUUCCAUGGGGCAUGCCUGUUCGAGCGUCAUUUACACCCUCAAGCUUUGCUUGGUGAUGGGCGUCUGUCCCGCGGUUCCGCGUGGACUCGCCCCAAAGGUAUCGGGCAACGCGGUCCGCCGCGUGCCUCAAAUCGACCGGCUGGGCCUUCUGUCCCCUAAGCGUUGUGGAAACUAUUCGCUAAAGGGUGUUCGGGAGGCUACGCCGUAAAACAACCCCAUUUCUAAGGUUGACCUCGGAUCAGGUAGGGAUACCCGCUGAACUUAA
RNAcentral lists this unclassified non-coding RNA (288 nucleotides) under Russula sp. RNAcentral describes it as "partial contains 5.8S ribosomal RNA, internal transcribed spacer 2, and large subunit ribosomal RNA". Lineage: Eukaryota; Fungi; Basidiomycota; Agaricomycetes; Russulales; Russulaceae. The record is from RNAcentral.